RNAcentral lists this long non-coding RNA (509 nucleotides) under Sarcophilus harrisii (Tasmanian devil). Its description in RNAcentral is "lncRNA (ENSSHAG00000021801.1)". Lineage: Eukaryota; Metazoa; Chordata; Mammalia; Dasyuromorphia; Dasyuridae. The record is from RNAcentral.
AGGUAAUUUGCAUAGGUAAUGCUUGUCUCAUUUGAUCAUCAUGGGCUCAUGUCUCAGGAUGUCCACUUAUCAAGUAUUUGAUAAAGCAUCUGGAAGCUCUCUUCCCUCUUCAUCCCAACUUCUUGGCUUCUCUGCCUUUUUUCAUGUGUCAGCAAAAAUCCCACCUUCUUCAAGAGGACUUUUCCAGACCUUCAUUUCAGUACUAAAGAAAAAAAAGUAGCAGCUAAUAAAUAGAUUGAAACUCUUCAAAGACUAUUUAAAGGGAGAAAAAUCACUACUGUUGGCCAAGAACAAGUUCUGAAAUAGGUAUUGAGGACCUGGAAGAGAAAUCAAUUUGGUGAUACAUUUGUACCAGAACACAGUUAAAGGGAAGCCUUUUUCCAGUGUGAAAUAAGGAACUAAGGAAAGUGGCAGGUCACACCUGAACCAGGAGAUGGACAAGAGCAGCUGGCCAAGAAUGGCUGACCCUAAGGCUAGAAAGGAGAAAUAUUAAGGAGUGUGUAUAUGGA